This 1586-nucleotide ribosomal RNA is filed under the name Klebsiella pneumoniae. Its description in RNAcentral is "partial 23S ribosomal RNA". It matches the Rfam family "Bacterial large subunit ribosomal RNA", at positions 146 to 1779 of the family's 2925-position model. The record is from RNAcentral. Lineage: Bacteria; Pseudomonadati; Pseudomonadota; Gammaproteobacteria; Enterobacterales; Enterobacteriaceae.
CACUAUCGUUAACUGAAUACAUAGGUUAACGAGGCGAACCGGGGGAACUGAAACAUCUAAGUACCCCGAGGAAAAGAAAUCAACCGAGAUUCCCCCAGUAGCGGCGAGCGAACGGGGAGCAGCCCAGAGUCUGAAUCAGCUUGUGUGUUAGUGGAACGGUCUGGAAAGUCCGACGGUACAGGGUGAUAGUCCCGUACACCAAAAUGCACAGGCUGUGAACUCGAAGAGUAGGGCGGGACACGUGGUAUCCUGUCUGAAUAUGGGGGGACCAUCCUCCAAGGCUAAAUACUCCUGACUGACCGAUAGUGAACCAGUACCGUGAGGGAAAGGCGAAAAGAACCCCGGCGAGGGGAGUGAAAAAGAACCUGAAACCGUGUACGUACAAGCAGUGGGAGCACCUUCGGGUGUGACUGCGUACCUUUUGUAUAAUGGGUCAGCGACUUAUAUUCUGUAGCAAGGUUAACCGUAUAGGGGAGCCGCAGGGAAACCGAGUCUUAACUGGGCGUUAAGUUGCAGGGUAUAGACCCGAAACCCGGUGAUCUAGCCAUGGGCAGGUUGAAGGUUGGGUAACACUAACUGGAGGACCGAACCGACUAAUGUUGAAAAAUUAGCGGAUGACUUGUGGCUGGGGGUGAAAGGCCAAUCAAACCGGGAGAUAGCUGGUUCUCCCCGAAAGCUAUUUAGGUAGCGCCUCGUGAACUCAUCUUCGGGGGUAGAGCACUGUUUCGGCUAGGGGGUCAUCCCGACUUACCAACCCGAUGCAAACUACGAAUACCGAAGAAUGUUAUCACGGGAGACACACGGCGGGUGCUAACGUCCGUCGUGAAGAGGGAAACAACCCAGACCGCCAGCUAAGGUCCCAAAGUCAUGGUUAAGUGGGAAACGAUGUGGGAAGGCACAGACAGCCAGGAUGUUGGCUUAGAAGCAGCCAUCAUUUAAAGAAAGCGUAAUAGCUCACUGGUCGAGUCGGCCUGCGCGGAAGAUGUAACGGGGCUAAACCAUGCACCGAAGCUGCGGCAGCGACACUAUGUGUUGUUGGGUAGGGGAGCGUUCUGUAAGCCUGCGAAGGUGUGCUGUGAGGCAUGCUGGAGGUAUCAGAAGUGCGAAUGCUGACAUAAGUAACGAUAAAGCGGGUGAAAAGCCCGCUCGCCGGAAGACCAAGGGUUCCUGUCCAACGUUAAUCGGGGCAGGGUGAGUCGACCCCUAAGGCGAGGCCGAAAGGCGUAGUCGAUGGGAAACAGGUUAAUAUUCCUGUACUUGGUGUUACUGCGAAGGGGGGACGGAGAAGGCUAUGUUAGCCGGGCGACGGUUGUCCCGGUUUAAGCAUGUAGGCUGGUUGUCCAGGCAAAUCCGGAUAAUCAAGGCUGAGGUGUGAUGACGAGGCACUACGGUGCUGAAGUAACAAAUGCCCUGCUUCCAGGAAAAGCCUCUAAGCAUCAGGUAACAUCAAAUCGUACCCCAAACCGACACAGGUGGUCAGGUAGAGAAUACCAAGGCGCUUGAGAGAACUCGGGUGAAGGAACUAGGCAAAAUGGUGCCGUAACUUCGGGAGAAGGCACGCUGGUGUGUAGGUGAAGUCCCUGCGG